RNAcentral lists this transfer RNA (88 nucleotides) under Verrucomicrobiales bacterium. RNAcentral's name for it is "tRNA-Ser". It matches the Rfam family "tRNA". Rfam says of the family: Transfer RNA (tRNA) molecules are approximately 80 nucleotides in length. Lineage: Bacteria; Pseudomonadati; Verrucomicrobiota; Verrucomicrobiia; Verrucomicrobiales. The record is from RNAcentral.
GGAGGGGUGGCAGAGUGGUCGAAUGCGGCGGUCUUGAAAACCGUUGAAGCGUAAGCUUCCGGGGGUUCGAAUCCCUCCCCCUCCGCCA